GAAUGCAUUACUGGGCAAUUACUCCUCUGGCAGUUAACUAAUUAGUCUUUUGCUAACACUAACCGCCAAGGGAGAUUUGCCCCGCAAUUCAUCA
Molecule: microRNA precursor, 94 nt
Filed under: Helianthus annuus (common sunflower)
Lineage: Eukaryota; Viridiplantae; Streptophyta; Magnoliopsida; Asterales; Asteraceae
Also listed under: 1 other name
Description: sRNA HanXRQr2_Chr07g0285551
Rfam family: mir-399 microRNA precursor family
About the family: mir-399 was identified in both Arabidopsis thaliana and Oryza sativa computationally and was later experimentally verified. mir-399 is thought to target mRNAs coding for a phosphatase transporter.
Source: Rfam by way of RNAcentral